AAUACUAAUUACUAUAAAUAAUAACCAGAGUAUUCUAAAACUUCUCUAAAGGCACAAAUGCUAUAGCAUUUCAUUACUUUAUAAGAUGCAUCAAGUCCUCCUUGCCUUACCCUGGUCAUGACACAUCAAAGCUUACAGCAUUUGAAUUGCAAAAUUUGAGGCCUAUAAUUAGUGAGAAAUAACACACAGAAUAAUCUUAACGUGUCAGAGACUCCCAAGGUAAUUUCUGUUGCUAUCAAAAUAAUUCAGUGAGUCAUAAGUUUCUUUGCAAUGUUGGUCACAAUCCUUUGCGAAGUGCAAUUCAUGCAACCUGGAUUCAAUGUUCAUAUAAGUAUCAUUCCUGCAAUUGCUCUUAUUCUUGUAAUCCUCUAUUUUUCUAGGACAAGUUGCAAAAUUGUAACAAUUUCAUCCUUGUGUCAGAAAGACCCUGCAUUUCAAAAUCACAAACAUUUCCAGUGUUAGGACCUUAAGGCAAAUAAGAAGCUACGAAUUCAAGUUUAUUGGGAAAAAAAGGAGAUGAGAGAAAGCGCUGUUUGUCCCAGGCAAACAAGACAGUCUUCGUUCUACAUCAAAGGCCAGAAAAAUAUCAGAUAUAAUUAAUAUUUCAUUCUGGAAGAUUUUUUCCAGUGUCCUUAAAAGUAGUAUUUCCUGCAUAGACUUCAAAGUGAAAUUCUGCAAAAUCCUUUUAGACCUCUGUGCUAAAAGAAUUACAUAGAAAAGAGUUGAUGCCAUAAAGGGACAAAGAAAUUCCAAAGUCCUGUGUUAAGCAAAGAAGAAGGGGCCAGGGCAUUUUGGAUAAAUGAGACCAAGCUGUGAAUGCCUCAACUAGUUUGGCAACUAUUCACAACUCUGCUUCUGCGGGAGUUGUGGGGCCCAGCACCAUACACCAAGGGACCUGGGAGAGCCUCACCCACCUGUGCAUUGGGCAGUAGGCAGACAGACCCCAGUAUGGACUGUGGAACUGCCAGCAGCUUGGAAACUGGCUCUCUUUUCAACCGGCUGGAAUCUGGGAGCACCUGGAAAAUGCUGACUUGGGCAGAUAACCCACAGACAAGAGAGACUAUGCAGAAGUCCCAAGUGUCUAGAGGAGAAGUUCAGCGCUCUGUCGGAACAAAAACAAAACAAAACAAAACAAAACAAGAGUUUGGAUGCAUUUGAGUGGGUAAGAGGAACUUUGCCCACCUUACCCUUCCCCCUAAGACAGCACAGUUUAGAGAAAGAGGAGGCCAAGUAUCCUUUCCUUGGGAGACAGGGAGGGCAGUGAGUGAGCUCCUGGGAGGGGGUGGGGCAGUUGGCACAAUAAGUGAAAGGAAUUAAGAGGUAUAAACUUCCAGUUAUAAAAUGAAUAAGUCAUAGAGAUGUAAUGCAUAGCACAGGGAAUAUAGUCAACAAUAUUGUAAUAACUUUGUCUGGUGACCGAUGGUAAGUAGACUUAUUGUGGGGAUCAUUUCAGAAUGUAAUAAAAGAAAAAAAAUCCGAUUAAAAAAUGGGCA
This 1493-nucleotide long non-coding RNA is filed under the name Felis catus (domestic cat). RNAcentral describes it as "lncRNA (ENSFCAG00000048149.1)". The record is from RNAcentral. Lineage: Eukaryota; Metazoa; Chordata; Mammalia; Carnivora; Felidae.